Molecule: long non-coding RNA, 554 nt
Organism: Loxodonta africana (African savanna elephant)
Lineage: Eukaryota; Metazoa; Chordata; Mammalia; Proboscidea; Elephantidae
Exons: 3
Source: RefSeq, a predicted model, not a curated record
UCCUCUGACCCCUUUUGUCAUUAGCCUCUCCCCUGAGAGAUCUCCACCGCCCUCCCCAGCCGGCAUAUAAAUCCCCACUGCUUUUCCAAACCUCCCGACCGGCCGCAUGCAGCGUGUGUUCGUGUGUGUAUACAUAUAAACAUCCUCUUCCUAGGCCAGGCCAGAGUUUGUGAAGAGAAUAAACGCUUCCUUUCUCUCCUCCCCCAGUGCACUUGUCUCUCCUCCCAGCCCGACACUGCUGCAGGCUUGGUAAUGUAAUAUUCACAGACCCCGAGACCGGAAAUGCCUGGUUCUGGACUGCUGCACUUGAAACACAAGAGAAAGGAUACGAACUGAACACGGGGGUGAGGGAGAAGGCCAUCCCCUCCAUCCUCUUGUCACAGACCCCACCCCGGUCAGACCUCAAUGUAGAGGAAGUGCUGGCUCUCCCUGAUGGUGUGCAGCCUCUAGUGCCCGCAGGAGGGAGUGAGCACCUUGGUGAAGUUCCAGCGCUGGAUGAAGUGCCGGGCGAGGUCCCGGGCUGGGGGGCCGUGGACAACCACCCCAACAUCCCG